AGAAAUGAAAAAAAAAAAGAGAUAGAAAAGAAACAGAAUGAAACGAAACAGGGAGCAAGGAAGGAAAGAAAAGAAAGAAAGGGAGAAAAGGGAAAUUUUAGAUUUCAAGGUUUGAAAGUUUAAUUGGUAAGCUAAUUUAACCAUUUUUAUUUAAUUUUGAUGUUUUAGAAGCUUUGGAACAAGAUUUUGAUGAAAUUAAGUUGAUAUUUUGAAAUUUAUUAGAUUUCUAGAUAAUGUUCAUGUUGAGUAAAAUGAUGAAUUAAGGGCUAAAUUGAUAGAAAUUCAAGUUAGAAAUGAAAUAAGGAUUGAAUUGUAAAGUGAUUCAUAAGUUUUAUGCUUUAAGGACUAAAUUGAAAGAAUUUUGAAAUUAUGGUCUUAUGAUGAAAAAUAGAUAAUUAUGUCUAAGUUUGGUUAAAAAUUGAGUAGAAAUAAAGUAUGAAUUAAGAUAGAAAAGUAAGUGAAUUUAGUUAGGAUUAAAUUGAAAUUAAAAGUAGAAAAUCAACAUUUUGCACUAAGACUAUUUUGGACAGCAGCAGUAGUCUAAGUUUGAAAAAUCACCAAAAAUUUUAGAAAUUUAAUUAGAGAAUGAAUAAAAUAUGGAAUUAAAUCUUAUUGAGUCUAGUUUUUUUAUAGAAGAAACGGUAUAAGUAAUUGAAUUGUAAAUUAUGAGAUAUAAUGAAUUUUGUGAGACAAGGUCAGAAUGAAUUUGGGUUCCCCUGUUCUGAGUUUGGAAAAUCACAAAAAAUUGGAGAAAAAAAAUUAGAGGCUUAAAGUUAUAUUUUUAGAAUCCCUAAUGAGUCUAUUUUCAGCAGAAAUCAACGGGAAUAUCAUCCGAGUUCUUUACUAUGAGAUAAUUAAUUUUUAGUGAAGAAUGGUCGAAACUGUCGACAGCAGAAUAGGGGUGAAUUUAAAGAAUAAAUUGUACUUAAUGGCUAAACGAAAAAUUCUAAAAAUUUUAUGGUAAAAAGAUUUGUGAGUCUAGUUUCAGGAGAAAUUAGCGGAUCUUAAUUUAGAAUUCUGUAACUCAAGAUAUAAAUUAGUAAUGUAUUAAUGAUUAUGAAUUGUAUUACUUUCGUAGUCAAUGUGGUAUCGGAAAUCUCGGCUAAGAAAGGACAAGACAAAGUCAACAGGAGUUAGCUCAGAAACUACGGUUUGUAUUUCUAUAUCCGAACUUAAUACUUAAAUUGUUGGAUUUAUUAUUUAAUAUAUAUAUGUAGUAGGUGUUUUGAGAUGAUUAUUUGAAUUGGAUUGAAUAUUGAUUAUAUUGAAUUGAUUUAUGAAUAUAUAUAUGAAUGUUUGAAUUGAAAUGAAUAUUGAUGUGGAAAUUGAAUAAUAAAUAUUUUUUAUAUUGGAAAAUAUAUGUAGUUCGAAGUGUGAUGAAAUUGAUAGAAAAUUGUGAUUAUUGUGAAAUUAAAUAUUUAUUAGUGAAAAGUGAAUGGAAUUAGAAUUAUAUUGAAUUGAAAAUAUAUAGUUAAUUAAUUAAAAUAUGAAUUAAUUGAAAACUGAAAAAUGAAUUAAAUACCCUAUUAACUAGUCGGACUAGUCGGAUAUAGUUGGUAUGCCAUAGGAUAUGGAAGAGUACGGGUUUUGCUGGCUUACUAAUCAGGCACUUAUGUAUCGACUACUAUUACUGUUACCGUUACUGUUACCGAUUCAGCACUUUGUGUGUCGGAUAUUGUUAUUGUUACCGUUACUGUUACUGUUUCGGAUUUGUUCCGAUGAGGUACUCUGUGUACCGUAUUGCUACUGUUACUGCUACUAUUCCGGCUUCGACCGAUGAGGCACUAUGUGCCGUACUGGUGUGUUGGUUAGAUCCGUGUAUCCGUCUGAGUCCGAGUCAUGUUAAUAGAGGUAAAUAAAGGUAUAAAAUAACUGAUUAUUACUGAAUAAUUAACUGUUAUUGGAUAAUUGACUGUUACUGGAUAUUAGACUGUUACUGAAUAACUGAAUAUUACUGAAUAAUUGAUCAUUACUGAAUAACUGAUUGUCACUGAAUGAAUGACUGUUAUUGAAUAACUUAAUUGUUACUGAAUACCUGAUUUUACUGAAUAAUUUACUAUUACUGGAUAACCGAUCAAUUGAUCGAUACUGAAUAACUGGUUAUUAUCGAAUAAUUGAUUGUUACCGAAUAACUGACUGUUAUUGAAUAAAUAAUUGUUCUAAUUGUUAAUGAACAUUACUAAUUGAUUAAUUGCUAUUGAAAUUAAUAAAUGAUUUGAAAUUUAAAGUAAACCAAAACAUUGGUUGGAAAGUGAAUGUUUGAAUACUCAUUGAGUUUGAAUAAUUCGAUAUAUAUAUAUAAAAUAAUAAGUUUUAUAAUUGCUUAAGUGUUCAGAUUAUAGAAAUACCACUGAGUGUAUACUCAGCAUAUGGUUUGUUUCCGUGCGCAGGUUAAGUUAAGGCUAGACUGUUGAAUCAGCAUCCCAGGCCGAUCCCAAAUUCAUUGAGGUAAAGUAUGUUGAGUAUUGAUAAUGGCAUGUACCUAGGAUGUUUAAUGAGAGUCAUUUAGGUCGUAAAAGUAUUGAUGAAAUAAGUAAAUUAUUGUUGGCAACGGUAUAUAGUAUGAAUUUUGAAAUUUAUUAAAAAUUCGUAGUGAUUCUAAAUUAGUUCCAAAUUGAAUUUACUGUUCAUAUUGGACCACGAGGGCCCAUUAAAGGGACAACAUCUUAAAACUAGGAUGAGUGUGAAUAUUUAUUUUAAUUAAUGACCGGAAUUGGACUGUACUGACUGGUAAUGUCUCGUAACUUUGUUCCGGCGACGGUAUAGGGUUAGGGGACGUUACACUUUCAAAAAUUAAAACAUAUAAGAUUUCAAAUAAAAAAAUAAAGGCUAUCUAAUUCUCAAAGGGAUAAGAUGUCGUGUCCUAAUUUACGGG
This 2875-nucleotide long non-coding RNA is filed under the name Gossypium barbadense (sea-island cotton). Its description in RNAcentral is "long non-coding RNA (GBAR_LNC012793)". Lineage: Eukaryota; Viridiplantae; Streptophyta; Magnoliopsida; Malvales; Malvaceae. The record is from RNAcentral.